RNAcentral lists this long non-coding RNA (998 nucleotides) under Gossypium barbadense (sea-island cotton). RNAcentral describes it as "long non-coding RNA (GBAR_LNC001037)". The record is from RNAcentral. Lineage: Eukaryota; Viridiplantae; Streptophyta; Magnoliopsida; Malvales; Malvaceae.
UUUAAUCCGGAUUUUAGGGUUGAUUUGAUGAAAGCUAAUUGCUAGUAUUAUUAUGUUUGAAUUUUUCAUGAUUUUGUUAAUUGUGAAUUUGUUUAAUUUUACAUGUAAUUUGUACAAUAUAGUUCGAUGAAAGUGAUUUAAUUUGAGUUAUAAGGUUGAUUUGAUGAAAAAUUGUACAGGCCAAUUUCGGGCCACCCCAAAACCCAAUAACUAACCUACCCUAAUCCAAAAACCCCUAACCCAAUAAGCCCAUUAAACAAAACAGGCCCAAACCUUAGCCCAACUACCCAAAACCCAACACUUGACCCAGGCCCAGAAGCCCAAACUCCAGACUUAGGGUUUCAGAAACCUUAGCCUACUCAGCCGCAACCUUCCCCACUUGUACUUAGCCCCAUACACUGCUCCACUAUAGCAGCCCCAUACCCCCACGCGUCUGACACCAUCUGCCGCCGCAUGCUCCUCCUCCACCACCAGCUCCUCCAUACCCUGCAAAGACAGAAGCAGACCAAACAGAAUGGGACAAAAGAUAAACAAUAUUUUCCUAGUUUUGUAGUCGGCUAUAAAGCUGAGAAAUAAACAUUUGUAAAAGGGGGAAUUUUUGCUAUGAAAACAAAGAUUUUCUUUCAAUAUUAACAGAUUAAAUACAAGAACCAUUCGAAAAUACAUAUACAAUCAGGGGCUCUAACACCAAAUCGGAGAAUCAAAUCUAAAACCUAAGGUGACUUUUUUUUUCUUUUUUUUUUCUUUACUGUUUUGAGUUUGUUUUUUACAUAAAAAUACUAAAAAAUAUCAAAACAUAAAAACUAUUAAGCAUAAAAAAAUAGAAAAAAAUAAAAAAAAUAUAUUUUUUACCUUUUCCGGCCAUCGCGUGCGGUGGACGGCGCCGGCGCCGGCGAGCCUCCGGUGGCCGUCCGGUGACCGGCCCCUGGCCGGAUUCCCCUCUCUUCUCUCUCCCUUCUCUCUUCCCUCUCUCUUCUUUUUUUUCUUUCCCUCUCCCC